GCCCCUGGGGACAAGGCACUAGCUCAGUCAGUAGAGCACGAGACUCUUUAUCCCAGGGUUGUGCGUUCAAGCCCCAUGUUGGGCA
Molecule: non-coding RNA, 85 nt
Organism: Podarcis lilfordi (Lilford's wall lizard)
Lineage: Eukaryota; Metazoa; Chordata; Lepidosauria; Squamata; Lacertidae
Source: the annotation of a GenBank genome assembly